This 76-nucleotide unclassified non-coding RNA is filed under the name Epilithonimonas hominis. RNAcentral describes it as "Chryseobacterium hominis Flavo-1 RNA". Lineage: Bacteria; Pseudomonadati; Bacteroidota; Flavobacteriia; Flavobacteriales; Weeksellaceae. The record is from RNAcentral.
ACGCAGCCCGACCUGAGUGGAGCUCUUUUUCUUUUUAUUUAAAAAGAAAAAAGCGGGAACGGAGGGCGGAUUAAGC